RNAcentral lists this long non-coding RNA (39369 nucleotides) under Populus trichocarpa (black cottonwood). RNAcentral's name for it is "long non-coding RNA (PTRI_LNC003396)". The record is from RNAcentral. Lineage: Eukaryota; Viridiplantae; Streptophyta; Magnoliopsida; Malpighiales; Salicaceae.
AAGAGCCAGACCUGGUCUGGAAAAACAUGAGCAAACCUCAAACUUCUAUGUGGCAGAGCUCUCUCUGUAGAGAUUUGUUUGUGGAUCUGCUAGUGAGGCAUGCAAGAGGGGAUGCAGUACUUUCAUAUGCUACAAAACUUUGUCUCAUCAGUUUCAGCACCGAAACAUUGGAAUAGGCCGAAAGUCAGACCUAGUCUGAAAACAUGAGCAGUCAUCAAACUUUGACAUGGCAGAGCUCUCUCUACAAAAACCCGUUUGUGGCUCUGCAAGUGGGAUGCAAGAGGGGAUGCAGUACUUUCAUAUGCUACAAAACUUUGUCUCAUCAGUUUCAGCAACGAAACACUGGAGUAGGCCGAAGAGUUAGACCUAGUCUGAAAACAUGAGCAGUCAUCGAACUUUGACGUGGCAGAGCUCUCUUUGCAGAAAUCUGUUUGUAGCUCUGCAAGUGGAGAAUCCAAGAAGGAAUGAAGUAGUUUCAUAUCACCUACAAGUUUCUCCUACCAGUGUCAGCAUUAAAACGUGGAAGUAGGGAAAAGAGACAGACCUUGGCUGAAAAAUAGGAAGAAGAUUGAAACUUCAACAGAGCAGAGCUCCCUCUACAGGUGUUUGUUUGCUGCACUGUCAGUGAGGGAUCGAAGAGGAGACAAAGGAGUUUUAGAUUCAUCAGGUUCUCUUCCAAUAAAGACAAUGCGUGAUUCCACACGUCGGCAGUGGCAAUGCUGCAAGUUUCUAGACGCUGCCAAGAUUACCUAGCUGGUGGAAGUUUUCCAACAACCCUCAACCAACCACAACAACAUUGGAAGAAUGACAUGAUGUUGUGAAGAUCAUCGAAAGAAUUGCGCGAGCUAUGAAGAAGUGAAGGAUUGAAGGUUUUGCCACGGAUUCCAGAACUGUGAAGAGAGUUGAAUCAGAAGAUGACUCUCAAUUGAGAAACCUCAGUUAUUUUGCCUAGUCAAGUCUCGCUCAAGCAUCAACUACUCCAAUGUCUUUGCCAAAGAUAGACAUUCCUUUGCCAUGUGGGUUUAUUUACCAGCAUCUGCCAGAUUCCAGACUUUUGCCUGACUCUGGCAGAUCCCAUGCAACCACCGUUUUCUAAGUGGUAUAAUCCAGACAAGAGAUGUGAUGUCAUGGUGGGGUCCUCAGCCAUUUCAAUUGAACAAUUACAAGAAUCGAGUCCGGAAGUUGGUGAGCAAAAGACGAGAGGAAUCUGUGAAGGAGCUUGUCAUCGAUCAUUUUGUCGCCAGAACAUCCUCAGAAUGACGAGUGAUCGGAAUUGCUUGGCAAAACAGAGAUAUUGCCAAAGAGGCUGAUCUAAGAAGGGGUUAAACUAUCAAUCAUUUUUGUUAUGGAUUUUGCCAUCUUGCAUUUUGUUUUGGGGUCACAUCUCAUCCUUGAACGAAACAUGUCUUUCCUUUGUCUUCCUGUUGUUUUGAAAUCAAGAGAUGCUUCUUUCAAAGGGUAGUUUUACAAAAUAUUUUGAUCAAGCUCCAACAUGUGAUUAAGAUUAAUCAAUCCUGAAGAUUAAAAGUAUUUUGAUUGCAAAAAUGACUCGAUGCUUAAAAAUGACAUGAGGUGACCAAACAAUUUUGAACUCAUACCUCCUGAAACUGAACCCCACAAUGUAGCUAAAUUUUUAGCAGUAUGCAUAAUGACAUGUAGUGGAUUCAGUAGUUAUGGACUCGUGUAUCAUGACUCUUACAAGUCCAAAUCAUUACACUGGAUGAGGUCAAAAUUUAUCGGUUCUAACCGACCUUGCUUGAAACGAGAAAAGGCCAUCUUUGUUAUCCUUUCACAUUUCUUGAAAUAUUAUCCCUUGCAGUCCCAUUUUGAGCCUGGUAAAAUAUUUUCUUUCAAAGAGAAACCCUGACUAGGAUCACACCCCACACUGGGGGCAAUGAGAGAUAUGUUUAUUAGGAAGGAUGAAGACACUGAUAGAAUCAAUGAUAAAAGAAAGGCUUAGAAUAAAAGCCCAAUGAUUGAGAAAGGGAGAACAAGAAAAGCCAUAGAUUGAGGGCCAUCCAAGAAAACUUUGAGGAAGGUUAUGUAAAAGAAAAAAGUGGAAAUGAAGGAGAAUGCCUAUCAAUUCUAAGAGGGGCAAAAGAGGUUUUAAUGGAAGAAAGACACAACAAAUGCCAAAAGUCAACACCAAAAAAAAUCAAGUUUCAUGUCUUUUGGUGUGUCUAGGAUAAAGCCUUUAGUGUCUUCAAAAAUUUUUAGAUUCAUUAUUCAUCAGAGAAAAAGUUGGAUUAGCAUUAUGACCUAUGUUAAGAGAAUUCUGAAUUUGAUAUUAACAAGGUUAUAUGUCACUUUCUCUACAAUGACAAUAAGAAAAAAAAAGUUGAUGAAUAGUUGAUAUUGAUCCUAGGGCUUUGAAACCCUCAAACACCUUUUGAGCUUUUGAAAUUCCUUUCUUUCAUAGCCAUGAACCAUAGCCUGCAUUACGUGCUUUAAAAAGCCCUUUUUAAUCAAGUAAGCAAUCUGAACCGAUAAAUGACGAUCUCAAAACUUGAAGAGUUUUCCAUAAGAGUCAUAGCUUCAUGGAUUAAGCUACUGGUUAUUAUGCAUGCUGAUAAAAUUGGUGUUAAAAGAAAACAAUCUUUCUUGAUGAAUCCUCAAGUUUUGACUUGAGCCUUUUGUUUUCCUUGAAAUUCACAGAAGGUCACCUCAUUGCAGACCGUGAAAAGAUAUACCCAAGAUCAAAGAUUAAAACUGACAUAAAGAACCAUGAAAAAGGGUCAUUUUAAACUUACAACGGGUCAUUUCUGUUUUCAAAAUACAAGAUAAUCAAAGGACUAUAUUGAAUAGUGUGUGUUGGGUCUUUGACCAAAAAGCUUGAUUUUCAAAAGAUCUUUUCCAAAACUGAUAUCUCUUUGAUUUCAUUUCAACAAUUAGACUCGAAUUGACAUGAUCUUUGAAAUAUGAGAGUUGAUUCCAUAACAAGAAAUAUUGUUAAACAUCAAGAACAUCGACCAAAUUUGCAAAAUCCUUGACAAGAAUGACAUCAACAUUUCUCGACACUCCUUGAAAAGUUGACCACCUGGAGGCAAUACAGUGGAUCAUGGGUAGGAAAACAAACAGUAUUCAGAUCAGCUGGGGGCAAAGAAAGAUGAUUAAAUGAAGAAUCGAUGAACGAAGGACAAUGUGGUUCAAAGAAAGAUAAUCACUGAAAGAGCACAUUCAGAUCACACCGGGGGCAAUAUUGUUCAAAAACAUUCCAUGAUCUAGUGAACUCCAGCAGCAAUUGAAAACAACGCUGCACUUGAAGGGCAUUUCAUUAUCAUCAGCUUGGGUUGCCCUUUGAAACAUGGCUAUGACUCCUGACAGAUGUUAUCAGGUGAGUGCAUUUGAAUGAACAUCAAAAGAUGCACACCACCAAGACUGACUGUGGGACCAUCUAUUCUGAAUCUCAAAAGCGCACUUCACCGUAUGAAUAUGGGUGAUAACAUGAACAUCAUUAAUGAUGUCAAGACAUUUCUUUCCACUAUCUGAUUUGACAAGCUGAGAGAAAUCCAUGAGAAAGAACAUUGAGCAUACAACGAUGAGUCUUUCACUGCAAGCUAUGAGAUGCAUGUCUGGAUGAUUGGAUAGUUUCAAUGAAGACUGAUGAUAAUAUAUACUUGAAGAGUAUUGUUUCAACUGGGGGCAAGUUCAUGACUGAUUGACAAUCUAAAAGGAGGUUAAACACCAGAAAACCUCUUGAGGGGUGUUGGCAAAACACAUGCACCAAAUCAAAGGACAAUUCUUGAGAGAAUCUAGGAGAUGGAUGAUUUGUUCAACUCCUUCAUGAUGAAUCGAGCAACACCGCACUUGGGGGCAGAGUCAAGCUUGAUAAACAGCGAGAGCAGUAAUUGUUGUGGACAGCCCAGGAUGUGCACUGCACUUACAACUGAGGGGAUGGCUAGCACAUGAAUGAGCCAAUGCAUCGAAAGAACCAAUAAAGCUUUGGAAUGCAAACAAAGGCACCCUAUGACGAUGGAUCAUCAAAGGGGGGGGCCUAUAUUUCACAUCAGGUAAGGAUGCAUGCAUGUCAUCUAACCUCAAAGCAUUGCACAUACUUGUGAUUUGUUACAGAAAGAUCCUCAAUGAAGUCCAGCAAGAUUGUGGACAAAGAAAGAAUCAUUGAGUUUAUAAUAACAGAGAAUCAUGGUUGUGACUUUGAAACGGGAAGAAGAUGAGAUAAACCUUACUGUUAGGAAAAUCUCAAAGAAAUGAAAAGAUCAACCUUGCAAUCAGGAAGCAUCGAGUUUUCAAACCCUGCGAUCAAGAAUUAUCAAGAAGCACCAAGUUUUCCGGCCCUUCUUCUAUCAUCCCUUCAGGACUUCGCCAGGUAAGUCCUAUUUUUCACACUUGUCACAUCACAUCUUUCAUUUGGGUAGGUCACCCAUAACAAUGAGACCAUUUCACAUUUUUUCUAUCCUCCACAUGGGUAGGUCACCCAUAAUAAUGAGACCGCUUCAUAUUUUUCUCAUCUUCCAUCUGGGUAGGUCACCCAUUACAAUGAGACCGCUUCAUAUUUUUCUAUCCUCCACCUGGGUAGGUCACCCAUUAUAACGCGACCACUUCACAUUUUUUCUAUCUUCCACCUAGGUAGGUCACCCAUUAUAAUGAGACCGCACUUCACAUUCUUUCCAUUUGGGUAGGUCACCCAUCAUAAUGAGACCGUUUUUCACAUUAUUUUUCUUGGGUUCGUCACCCAUACAAUGAGACCAUCAUUUUUCUUGGGUUAGUCACCCAUACAAUGAGACCAUCAUUUUUCUUGGGUUCGUCACCCAUACAAUGAGACCAUCAUUUUUCUUGGGUUCGUCACCCAUUACAAUGAGACCAUUUGUUCCACAUUCUUUGUUUUAGUUUAAUGAGGUCGCCAGAUGGGAUCUCAUGUAGCUUUGGUUAAAGGGAAUCGCCAGAUGGGAUUUCAGGUUGACCGAGUUACGUAACAUCUUUUAGUUUUGGUUUAAUGAGGUCGCCAGAUGGGAUCUCAUGUAGCUUUGGUUAAAGGGAAUCGCCAGAUGGGAUUUCAGGUUGACCGAGCUACCACACAUUUUUUAGUUCCAGUUGAAUGAGGUUGCCAGAUGGAAUCUCAUGUAGCUUUGGUUAAAGGGAACCGCCAGAUGGGAUUUCAGGUUGACCGAGCUACACACAUUUUUUAAGUUCCAGUUGAAUGAGGUCGCCAGAUGGGAUCUCAUGUAGCUUUGGUUAAAGGGAAUCACCAGAUGGGAUUUCAGGUUGACCGAGCUACCAUAUUUCUUAGUUUCAGUUGAAUGAGGUCGCCAGAUGGGAUCUCAUGUAGCUUUGGUUAAAGGGAAUCGCCAGAUGGGAUUUCAGGUUGACCGAGCUACACACAUUUUUUUAGUUUUGGUUUAAUGAGGUCGCCAGAUGGGAUCUCAUGCUGGUUCUGGUUAAAGGGGAUCGCCGGACGGGAUCUCAGGUUAGCCCAACCACGCAGGAUAUUGGUUCUGGUUAAAGGGGAUCGCCGGACGGGAUCUCAGGUUAGCCCAACCACGCAGGAUAUUGGUUCUGGUUAAAGGGGAUCGCCGGACGGGAUCUCAGGUUAGCCCAACCACGCAGAUUUUGGUUUUGGUUCAAGGAGAUCGCCCGAUGGGAUCUCACAGAAAAAAAAAGGAAAGAAAAAUAAAAAAGAGAGAAAGAAAGAAGAAGAGAGAAAGAAGGAAAGGAGAAGAAAAAAAAAGAAAAAAAAAGAAAAAGAAAGAAACAUUUAGAGUUUUUCUUUACAAAGCUUACUAUGCGAAACAUUGAGGAGUUUUGCUUCGUAAGCAUUGUAAAGAGGGGGCAUCUGUUGCUACCCAAUUUUUGACCCAUGUUUUGAUAAAUUUUCAGAAAAAUCCAAAAAUAGCGAAAAAAACAUUGAAAAAUCCAAAAAUAGCGAAAAAACAUUGAAAAUCCCAAAAAUACAUUUUUUAUACAUUUGUAUCGUUUUUAGCAUUUUUAGCAUCGUCUCAAAAGAAUUUAAAUUUUCAAAGACAUUUGGAACGCGUUCAACUUUUCACGCGUCAUUUUUAAAAUCAUUGAUUUUCCACAUUGAGUCGAUGUUGAUAUUUGCUCGCUUUCAAAAAUACAAAAAAAUAAGAAAAAUCAAAAUUUACAAAAAAAGAGGAAAAGAGAAGGAAAGGAAAAGUUGAGGGACUAAUUUGAAAACCUAGCAAAACUCUUCCUAUAAAUACCAUGCUAUACUGAAUUUUCAAAGGGGGGGCAAUUUUGACAACAUCAGAAAAAAUACAAAAAAAACCUAACCCUAAACCCAUCUUUUUCAAGGGAGCGCCGCCCCCCUCCCUUUCCUCUGGUUUUUCGGCCAGAACCAGAGCCGCCACUUUUAUCUUUAGGGGAAGAAGGUCGAAACCAGGGAUCCCCCCCGGUGGUUUUGAUUUUGUGCUCCCAGGCAGCCGCCCUUCCCUUCUCUUUAAAAAAAAACAGAGCCAAACACAGCCCCGAACCCCUGUUUUUGAUUUUUCUCCUCCCCUCACACACUAGCCGGCUACCACGUUCUCCUUCCAUUUCAGACUCUCCCUUCUCCCCUUGAGUCGCUGGCACACAGAGCCUUCUCCUAAAAAAACCAAACCGAUUCCCGUCAGCCAGCCCCUUCCCUCUCUCAGCUGCACACAGAUCGGCCUCUCCAUCAACGCCGGCCUCCACCAAGCCACACAGCAGAACAACCCCAUCUCUCCUCAGUCAGCCGGUCUCUCCCUUUUCCUCCACCGGCAGCCAUCACAGGCCGCUACCACCGACAGGGGUGAAGACCGUUCAGCAUCGACGACCUCCACAGAAGCAAGCCACCGCCUCCGCCUGCUUCCUCCAGACCAGCCCGAACACAGCGGCGCUCACAGAUUUGGAUCCGUCCGCCAUCUUCCUCAGCCGCCUGCACACAGACCUCCCUUUUCUCCAGCCAGAACCGCCGCUGGAACCUUCCCCUCUCUCGGCCGAUCCAGCUCCAGCAAGCACCACAACAGCCGUAGCUCCUCUGCCUCAACACUGCCAGCAACCUCUCCCAUCUCCACCGCAGCUCCAGCAGCCGCAGGUGACAGCAGCAAAGACAACUGAAGCCGACGAUCAGACUAGCAGAUUUCUUCUCCAUCUCCGCCGGCCAGACCCGACAAAAGCCUAGCAGCCGGCGGCCCUCUUGGUCAUACAGCCGACCACCUGAAACAGAAAAGGAGAAACAAAAGGAAAAGAACCAAUCUGUAGAGAGGAGCAGAUCCGAAACGGAGAAAAAGAGAAAGAGACGCAGAUAUGAAAACAAAGUAAAGAAAAACUAAAAUCGACUGCCUGUUGCGUUUUUGGGUGUUUUGCAGGUCACACUGGCGAGGACAGGAAGAGGGGAAGAAGCUGUGGCUGACCCCUGCUUUUCCGGCGUUUUGUGCGGCGGCGCGUGGGUUCACGCGCAGCCAGUGGCGGUGGCGCGUGGAGGAGACGCGCCGCCACUGUUCCUGCUGUCCUUUGGCUUCACAGAACAUGGUCCCAGCACUGCUAUGGAUUUUUGAAUGGCUGUUUUGUAAUUUUAAAAUUGUUUAAUGUAAUAUUUGUGUAUUUUUUGUGUUUUUUUGUAAUUUAUAUUUUGUAAACAUGGAAGCAAAAAAAAGAAAAGAAAAGAAAUAUAGUGAAAGUGUAUGUGUGUGUUUGUAUUUUUUUAUGUAUGUUAUUGAAUCAAAAAAAUGAAUUUAAUAUUUUAAUUUAUAGGCACAAAUAUCUAAAGGACAAAUAAAAAUCAUGUUGUAUUUCUCAUAAAAAUGUAGAACAUGUAUCUACAUAUAUUUUGGGAACUAAUAACUGAUUUAUCAAAGCCUUAGAAUUGGGCUAAAAUUUUAUUUUAAAAACGCAUAAGGUCCACGAAGCAGCUUACCUCAGGUAGGGUGCGUUAGGGGUGCUAAUACCUUCCCUAACCACAACCAGUCCCUUACCCAUGAAUCUCUGACGAGACCAGUACACCCGGGUUUCCUAGUAGCCCUCAAUUAAAUACUAGGUGGCGACUCCCAACGAACCAAAUCAAAGCAAAACGACAAACGAAAAAUCGCUAGCCGAUGCCGCGCGGAUUUUUUUUUGACGUGCGACAUUGAAAUCAACCUCGACACUCUUCUUACUGAGCCUGGCUUAAGAAGACCAAUUUAUGAAUACCAUGUAAAUGAUAGGGAUGCAAUCCAAAAAGCUUAUCUACGAAAGGGUCAUUGUCAACCUUCACACUGUGAUUUUCCUCAAAAAUAAUUUGGGAAUAUAUCUACACUACGAUGCUUUAAUCCGACUUGGUUUGGUGCAUACUCAACAUUGUUAGAGUAAAACAUAACUAAAGAUGUUUUAUUUUUCUUGUAUUGUUACCUCUUCAAGUCAAAAGGGGGUGUUGAUUCAUUUGGGGGUAAUGAGUUUUCAAAUUGGCAAAAAGGAAAGAUUUGAUCUUCAUAUUGAAAAGUCUAAUAAUAGUCACAAUGCAAAUCGGAUAAAAUAUGAGAAUUUAAAGAAUGAAAAACAAAGUAUCACGACUUUGUUAUCCGAGCAGAGAGUAAACAGUCAAAGUGAUUAUCAAACUCGAUUGAAUGCUUCAAUAGAGUGUGCUUGUUUUUUGUUGCACCAAGGACUUUCAUUUCGUGGCCAUGAUGAAUGUGAAUCUUCAAGCAACCAAGGAAAUUAUCUAGAGCUCUUACAUUUCUUUUCCAGAAAUAAUGAAGCUAUUAAAAUAGUUACUUUCAGUGAAGCUCCUAGACAUAACAAAUUAACUUCUCCAGAUAUUCAAAAAGACAUUACUGAAGCUGAUGCAGAGGAGAUUACAAAUAUGAUUAUCAAACAUCUAGGUGACUCAUUAUUUUUAAUUUUAAUUGAUAAGUCAUUUGACAUAUCAAUCAAAGAAUAAAUGGUAGUUGUUUUAUGAUAUGUAAACAACAAUGGACAUAUAAUUGAAUGCUUUCUUGGCAUUCAACAUUUGUCCGAUACAACUGUUAGUUCACUCAAGGUAGCUAUUGAAGUUUUGUUUUCUAAACAUGGGCUAAACAUAUCAAGAUUGCGUGGUCAGGGAUAUGAUGGAGCUAGAAACAUACGAGGUGAAUUCAAUGGCUUGAAAGCACUUAUUCUAAAUAACAACCCAAGUGCAUAUUAUGUACAUUGUUUUGCUCACAAACUUCAAUUGACUUUUAUGGUUGUUACAAAGAAGCAUAAUGAAGUUGAAAAUGUCUUUAAUUUUAUUUCUAGUAUUAUAAACAUAGUUGGAGCAUCAUGUAAAAGGAUGGAGGUGAUUAGAGAAAAACAAUAUGCUAGAAUUAUUGAAGGACUUGAAAAUGGAGAAAUUUCUAGUGGACGAGGUUUGAAUCAAGAAACUUCUCUUAGAAGGUAUGGUGAUACCCGUUGGGGCUCCCAUUAUGUUAUAAUUAUUCGUGUACUUGUAAUGUUUUCAUUAUUUCUUGAUGUGCUUGAGAUUAUAAGGGAGGAUGGGAUGAGCUCAGAACAGAGAAUGAAAAUAGUCGUUUUAACAUAUAUUAUGGAAUCAUUUAAUUAUGUGUUCAUGCUUCAUUGUUUGAGAAUGAUACUAGCAGUUACUAAUGAGUUCUUACAAGCAUUACAAAAAAAAAGAUCAAGACAUAAAAAAUGCUAUGAAUUUAUUGAAAACAUCAAAGGAACGAUUCAAAAUGAUGAGAGAGAAUGAUUGAGAAUCUUUAUUGGAAGAAGUGUCAUUGUUUUGCAUCAAACAUGAUAUUAAUACUCUAAACAUGGAUGAUGAGUAUAAGCUUCGUGGGCGUUCAAGGCAAAAAUCUCAAAGGAUUAUAAGCCUACACCAUUUCCGUUAUGUUUAACAAUAUCAUUGACAUGCAACUUACUGAGUUGGAUGAUCAUUUUACUGAGAUAAGUAUGAAGUUAUUUUUUUGUGUGACAUGUUUAAACCCAGGUGACUCUUUCUCUACUUUUAACAAAGAAAAUCUUAUUCGCUUUGCUCAUUUUUAUCCCAAUGAAUUCUCUAUAAUGGACCUUAUGGUACUUGGUAACCAACUUGAUACAUAUAUUAUUGAUCUAUGUGGUGAUGAUGAGUUCUCUAGUAUUGGAUGUAUUGCUAGUCUUGUAGAGAAAAUGGUAAAAAGAAAGAAGAAUGUGAUAUUUCCAUUAGUAUACAUACUUAUUAAAUUGUCAUUACUUCUACCAGUUGCAACUGCUAUAAUGGAGAGAGUUUUUUCUGCUAUGCAUAUUGUCAAGAGUAGAUUGCGGAAUAUGAUGUGAGAUAAAUGGAUGAAUGAUAGUUUGAUUAUAUAUAUUGAGAAAGAUAUCUUCAAUAAUAUUGAUAAUGAAAUUAUUUUGAAGCGGUUUCAAAAUAUAAAAACUCAAAGAGAACAAUUAUAAUGUAAGUUUUUUCAUUUUAAAGUAUUUUUAAAUUAAUUUUACUUGAUAUGAAUUAAUAUAUAUGUUUUGAAUUGAGUUCUAACGCAUAUCUACAUAAUAUAGUAUUUAUUAGUAAUUUGUCCCCUCAUUUAAAAAACUCUGGCUCCGCCAAUGACCCUCCAUCACCAUCAUCUUCAUCUCCAAGCACCAGCUUCGCCUCCGCCUCCAGUAAGCAUAAGUAAGUCUCCUCCCAUUUUGUUUAUACAUUACACAGUGUGAAGGUAAUUUUAAUUACCUUCGCACUGUGCAACACACAUGCGUGCUCUUUUGCCCAGUUAGGUCACCGGCUUGGGCUAGGUCGGCUGGGUCCAGCCCAGCCUGUAUAGGUGGUCAAACCCAACCUAAAAAAUGAAAAACAAGAAAAAAAACUGGACCUUUUUGAAUUUAUUUGUAGGUUCCUCGUAUUUUUUUAGGGUAUUUCACUAUAUAUUUGAUAUGUGGAUUUUUAUUGUUAAAUGCAAAUCCGAUAUUCGAUACAUUAUUUUUUUUCUUAAAAAAGAUAAAAAAAAUUUUGUAUGCCUUGUUUUAAAUUCAUUUUAUUGGUUUAUUUAUCAACGCCAGAGCUAGAGUUAGAAAUACAAUAUGUUUUUUUUGCUACGUAAUAUUUAUCAAUGCUAGAGUUGGAAACAUCUGUGUCUGAAUAUUCACUGGUGUUAGAAUUAGGAAUAUUAUAGGUAGACCAUCAAAGAUAAAGCACAACAAACCCCUAAUAAUUUAAGACAAAACUCGUGAUGUAGGCUACCUUAGGUAGAACGAUUAAGGGGUGAUAAUAUCUUCCAUUUUGCGUAAGCAGUCCCGUAGCAUAGAAUCUCUGCUGAUCAGUUAGGGUUUUUAUUGACCAUAAUACUAGGUGGUGUCUCCUUAAACGAGACCUUUCCUCAUCAAAUAAUAAGAUGCUAUAAAUCUUUUAUUUAUCCUUUAAAGAUGAUUUUUUUAGGGUCGCCGCGAUGUCGGGUUUAACAGUACUAUUUGGAUGAUUGUGGAUCAUCUGACGAAGUCUGCCUUAUUUUUACCCAUGAAAAUGAAGUAUUUGGUUGAUAGAUUAGCCAAGUUGUAUGUAAAUGAGGUGGUUAGGCUACAUGGUGUGCUAGUGUCAAUUGUUUUGGAUAGGGAUUCAAGGUUCACAUCAAGGUUAUGGCCAAGCCUAUAACGAGCUUUAGGAACCAAAUUAGAUCCAAGUGUUGCGUUUCACCCUUAGACUGAUGGUUAGUCUGAAAGGACUAUUCAGGCUCUCUUCUAAGAAAUUAUGUGUUGGAAUUUGGAAGAAAUUGGGCAGAUCUUUUGCCUUUAGUGGAAUUCACGUAUAAUAAUAGCUACCAAGUUACAAUUGGUAUGGCCUCGUACGAAGCAUUGUAUGAGAGGAGGUGUUGCACCCUGGCCUGUUGGGAUGAAGUGAGAAAAAUGAAAUUACUAAGGCUGAAAAUGGUAAAAAUGACAAAUGACAACUGAUAAGGUAAGGGUAAUUAGAAAAAGGAUGAAAGAAGCUCAAGAUAGAUAGAAAAGUUACGCGGACAAUCAAAGAAGGCCUUUAGAGUUUCAGGUGGGAGAUAAGAUAUGUUUGAAAGUGACACUGUGGAAGGGAAUUAUUUGGUUUGAGAUCAAAAGGAAACUAGCUUUGAGAUACAUUGGUCCUUUUGAGAUUAUAGAAAGAAUCGAACCUAUUGUUUACCGAUUAAAUUUUCCCACAUAAUUAGAUAAGAUCUACAAUAUGUUUCAUAUAUCAUUGUUGUAGAAAGCAAAGAUGGACCCAUUAUAGGUGUUGCCAUGGGUUCCUAUCAAGUCAAUGGAGAUUUAACCUUGGAAACCAAGCUUAUCAAGAUUCUGGAUUGGGAUGAAAAAGUGUUAAGGAAUCAAAAGGUUCUAUUAGUAAGGGUGUUAUGAAGGAGCUCUAAGAUAGAGGAAGAGACAUGGGAAAGGGAAGCAAAGAUGAAUGAGAAGUAUCCGUAUUUAUUCAAGGAUGAAUGUAUGAUCUAAUAUUUUAAGGAUGAAUUUUUUUUUAGAGGAAAGAAUGUAAACCCCGAUAUAAAUUUGGCAUAAAAUUAGAGAAAUGUUUUAUAUUAAGUAAAAUAAAAUAAAAUGAAUGAUGUAUGAAUUUUAAUAAAUGAGGCACGAAUAUAUGUAUAUAUAAAAGGUAAGGAUAUGAAAAUUGAUCCAAAAUAAUUUCUUGUAAAUGUUGAUUAAAAAAUAUAAACCCGGUACAACUCAAGAGUUCUAUAAAAAUUUUAAAGGAAGUGUAUAAGAAAGUUAAGCAAAUAAAAUACAAAAAUUGAGGAUUUGACACUUAUAUUAAGGGAAUUGAUAUGGACAUUUGAAAUUUAGAAAAAUUGUUAGCGAACAAAUUUUUAAAUAUAGAAGUGCGAAAAUGCUUAAAAAAAAAGUUCAAAAUAUGAAUUAAAUUUUAGUGGAAGUGAUUUAUGAGGAAAGAAAGGUACUGGGCUAUUGAUUAGUAUUUAAAAGUUAUAUUAUCAUUUUGCACUUGAAGUAUCAAUAACUCCUUAACUAGAGCAUGUUUUAUAAUAACAUGUCUAAUAAUAUAAGAUACCUUUAAUUUAUGAUAAAUGUUCAUAUUAAAUGCAAGCCUAUCACAUAAUUCAAAGGAUUGAUUGAUGAGUUUAACUACUAAAAUUGAGCAGACAAAGAGAGGGCUAAGCUUAGAAAAGAGAUGCUGGUUUAGACCAAACUGGAACACCAUACGGUUAUUGGAUCAUAACUGGAGCUGUAGAACUUGGAUUUAGGUCUAGUUUAUAUGGAUAGAAAGCUAAGACAUAGGCAUAAAACUUUCAUGAAGAGUCCAAGUUUCAAAAGGACCGUUUUCAAGUUCAAAUUGUAGCAACAACAGAGAAGUUGGAAUCUAUCCUAUAGCCCAGACACUGUUCAGUGUUUAACCCAUAUCUCGAGUUCUAAAAGUUCAAAUGACCUCAUUCUUAUUGUUUUGGAAAGCUGAGACAAUUUCCUAGAAGUUUCAUGAAGACUAUCUGUUCAAAUUCUGAUGUUAGCAAUGACGUUUUCUGCAGAUAAGAAGAUAAGGAUUGUUACCAAGUCAAGAGGUGGUCACCCACUCAACAAUUAAUCAUCAAAUCAAUAGUUCCAAAUUUUGGCCUAUAAAAGGAGGCAUUUGCCAUCAUCUAGACAUCUUGGUGUUUAGAUCAAGAUCUUGUUCUUACUCUUUUUCUUUGUAAUUUGUAAUGUCCAAGUUUUAUUCUCCUUAAUCUCUUGUUUAUGCUUUUCAUUUCCUUUACUAUACUUAUAUAAUUAUGUUCUUAUCUUGUUUAUUUAUGUUUCUCUUAUUCAUAAUGUUUAACUAAGUUUAUUAUGUCAAGGUGAAAAGGUUACAUUAAUGGUGUAAGAAUAAGUAUAGUAUAAACUCAACAUGGACUUUGUCGCACGUGUGCGGCGUCACGGCGAAAACAUCCACCCUCAAAAUCUUGUGUUAAAAAAAAUAUAUAUAGCAAAUGUGUGGAGACAAGGAAUUCUUGUCUUUUAUUAGUGGAAAAAUGAAAUGGGAGUCGCCACCUAGUAUUUUGGUCACUAGAAACCCUAACUGGUCUCAGAGAUCGGGUACGGGGACUGGUUGCGUAAAGGGAAGGUAUUAGCACCCCAAAUAUGCCCUACCUAAGGUAAACUGCAUUGUUUUAUUGUUUGAUAAAAUCUAAGGUCAUGUUGUGCUUUUUAUUUGUUAGUCCGUCUAUGGCUUAAGAAAAGUUCUCUUUGGUAAAGAUAUACUUAUCUUAUCGGGUAAAACCUAACCGGUCUAAUACCAACAAAGAAAAUUUAAUAUCCGGAACACGUCUUACAUAUAAGAUCAUAACCCAAGAUAUUAAAAGAAAACAAAAUAAAUUUUUUUUAGAAUUUUUGAAGUAUUGGCCUAGUUCUCGUGACUUUAAUAAACUUGUUAUUAAAGCCAAAAUGCAUGCUAAUACAUAUUUUUUUGAAAUUUUCUUUGUUGUAUGAAAAUACAAUAUGAUUUUUUAUUUUUUGAGAGACUUGGCCGUAUGCAUGAAAACAAAACAUUUUUUAUGUCUAGAAAAAAACGUGGUAUUUUAAUACCGGAUUUGUAUCUUUACAGUAUAAAAUACAAACCGGUAUUGAUUAAAAUGCAGUAAAAAUUAGUGGAAAAUCACAUAUAUUUAAAUAAUUUAUUAUUAUUAUUUUUUUUUUGCUGGGCCCAACUCAGCCCAUAUGCUGGGCUGGACCCCAGCCAACUUGCAUAGCUGGGCUGGAUUCAGACAGCCCAGCAUGGUCACUGGCAUGGGCCAGUGACCAUCUUCAAAAAGAAAUUACCCCAGCCAACCUGCGUAGUUGGGCUGGAUUCAGACCAUGCUAGUGGCCAUCUUCAAAAAAGAAUUACCCCAGCCAACCGGCGUAGCUAGGCUGGAUUCAGACCUGGCCCAUGCCAGUGACCAUCUUCAAAAAGGAAUUCCCUUGUUGAGACUUGAAACCGGGUCUCUUGGAUGAGAUCUGGGUAAGCUGACCAUCUAGACUGCAAGGCAUAUUUUUAUCUAUUGGCACCAUAAUAUUUUUAGGCUUGUAUGAACAGGGCGAAGGUAAUUAAAUUACCUUCGCUCUGUUAACCAUCUUUGUUGCAGUGCGAGAAAAAAAAAGAAAAAUAAAACAGAGCAUGUAACUGGCGAUUUCUGGCGUCGGUUUCCUUAUGUUUUAUUUCUGUAUUUUACAUACUAACAUGCAUCAUCUCAUUCUGCAGGGAAACAGAGAAGGGCAUCGAACAUACCUGAUUUUGAGAAGACGAAGACGAAGACGAUGGUGGUGCUGGAUUCUCUGCUUCACAGUGUCCUCUGUUUCUGUUUGGUUUGCUUCUUUCUCUCGUUCCUCUUCUCUCCCUUAUGCUUGCUCACUAUUUCUCCACUCUCUCACUUUUCUUACGUUCUCAUAAGCUGUCUCACUCCCUUUUUUUUUUCUUCACGGUAGCCUCUCCUCUCUCUCCUUUUUUUGUGUGUUUAGCUCUUCCUCUGGCUUUUAUAGCCAGAGGACGCCAGCAAUUUUGGUAAGCCGGCGCCCAUCACGGUGACGAGGGAUAUCAGCCGCGAUACCCGCCCUAUUGAAUCGAGAAUAUUUUCCAUAAUCGCUGCUAACGUCUCCUUCCAUUAUCGUCACCGAUUCACAGCUAUUUGAAAACCAUUAAUGGUGGAAACGACGCCGCUUGGGUUCUUCUAAUUUGGCCCUUGAAGUUUUCGCUGUUUUAUAAUCAAACCCCCCGAAAACAUUGUAAUUGGAUUCCUUAAUGUUAGCGCCUUUUCUGGUUUGAUCCUUGGUCUCGAAUUGUUUCAAUUAAGUCCCUAAUUGGCCAUCAAACUUCAAUAAUUAUGCAAUUAAGCCCCUGAUUUGACCAAAUCAACUCUUUAAAAUUAUAAUUGGACCCCAGAACUUUAAUUUCUUCCUAUAAAAGCCUAAAUUGACUUACAAAAUCAAUUUUCUUGCAAUCAAACCCUCUAUAAAUUCAAUUAAACCUUGGAUAAAAUUUAAUUGAGUCCAUAAACGUCUGAUUUUGGACUUUUCUUCCUCAAAUUGAAUUUUCCUCAUCGACGGGGCUCUCACUGUCAAAUUUCAACUUUUUGCAUUUUUGAAUCUCCUUAACCAAUUUUGGCAUUUUUUUGGCAUUCCAACAAAUCUUUUUCUCGCUCCUAUUAUUUUUUGGAUUUCUUUUGAUAUAUAUAUAUAUAUAUAUAUAUAUAUAUAUAUAUAUAUUCUCAUUUUUAUGUGAACUCAAAAAUGGGUAACAACAGACUUUAAUGUUUGAUACUAACAUGCUUUGUAUUUGUUAUCUUACUCACUCAUAAUACCUUGUUUGUGAAAUGGUUAAUCUAGAUUUGUGUUGAACAACCUUUGGUACAACAAAUACUUGGCACUUUCAUAGCCCAACUGUAUGGUAUAACCAACACCUGUGUUAUGAAAGGAAUUUGAUUUGUUGUUAACAUAAGUUAUCAUCAUGAAUACCUGAUAAUAUUUACAAGUAUUAGCAUUAUUCAAAUAAGAUAACUAAUGUAAUCAUGUUAACAAUUUAUAAUCUGAUUGGAACCUUUUUUGUGUGUGGUUUCCAGUUGAGUAAUAAAAAGAGUUUAUAUUAUACUUAUUUGAAAUACCAUUAGUGGAUCCUCUAACCUUGAUAUUUGUUUUAUCCUUGUUUAAUCCUUACAUCAAUAUCACAUCUCAAAAGUUCUCUUCAACUCCUUUUCAUUUAUUGUUUAUAAUUUUAUAUAGUUCACCUCCCUAUGGUUCGACCCUGGUCUUGCGGGGUUAUUUAUUACUUCAAUAUUCCUGUACUUGGGAGAAGACAUCAGUCUUUUGAUCAUGUCAGGUAUAAAUUAAUGAAUUUUGAUAUAGCUUGUUGAAAAUCGAUAUUAAAAAUAUACCGAGAUAAGGGAAAUAAAACUCGAUAACUAUAAAAGUUAUUAUUUAAAGGGACAUAGUGGGAAUUUGAUAAUUUUUUCCUAUAAAAGAUUUGGGUGCAGCCGGCCAUGGGUGGGAUUGAGAGGGAAGAGAGGAAAAACUCAAUUUUUAAGCAACAAAAAAUACUUGAGAUUUGAAAAAUUCUUAAGAACCUAGAGAAAAACAAGGAAAAGAAGAGAGUUACUGAUACUAAAGGAUUUAAGCAACAAAAUCAUUUAGAUUUAAAGUGUUCUUGAAAGAAGAGUUUAGGGAUAUAGUGAGGGGGAAGGGGCGACAACAAUAAACAAGGAAGAAAAGGUGGGAAUCCUUGAUUUGUUAGCACUUAGAACCUAGAUUACUCAUUGAUAAGAUGUCUAACAUUCGUUUAACAAGUUCUUACAAUAUUUGUUGAGUUUCCAUUGAUUUUCAAUCAAAUUGAGGUUAAGGUAUGUCAUAACCCAUUUUUGGGUUAUUCCCAAAUUUAUUUUCUUUUCUUCCAAAAAAAAAUAAUUAAAAAAAAGAGAGAAACUCAAAACAGUGUCAUUUUGAAUGACACUGUUUUUCUUCUUCCCCUGCGAGUGUAGAGGCAGGGAAGAAGAAAUAUUUUCAAAAUCUUUUCCCGUCUUUUCUCUCUCCUAACAUAACCACACCCCGCCAUUAUUAUAGAAGAAAUAGGAGGCCCAUGCCCUGGCCACCAUGCCUGUAUUUGGACAGGGUAUGGUGACCAUCUCCCCCGGCAUCCUAUAAAUAUAGGGCGAAGAUUACAGAACAGGAGGGGAAGGAAAGUAAAAAAAAAAAGAAUGAAGGAAGGCAAAAAGAAAGAUAGAAAAAAAAAAGAGAAUAGAAGGGAGAGAAGCAAAAAAAAGAAGGAAGAGGAACAUAGAGAAACAAAGGGAAAUAGAGGAGAAUAGGGGCAGAAAAGGAAGGGGAAAGGGAAAGGGAAAGGGAAAGGAAAGAAUAGCAUGGAGCUAAAAAGGAGAAGAAAAGGAAACAAAAAAAUAAUAGAGGCAGAAAGAGGAAAUAGAGCGACUGUUUCUCUGUUACUAACAGUAACAACCCCGUCGUUGUUCGUGAGCCAUGACACCGCCAUCGACACUCUUCCCGGUCGCCAUCGUCAGCUCAACUACUAGAGCCCUCUCUGUUCCAAGUAACACUCUCAUUCUCCUGUUCGUCUUCCCAUUUAUUUACUUGCAUGCAGAAUGUGCACUGUUCAUGUUUUUGCAGCAAGAAAUAUAAUUAACCGGUUACUGUGCAUGAACACAAUAACCAAUCCAUGGUUGCUUCGGGCUCGACUAUCAGCCCAGCCCACGCGGCUGGGCUGAAUCCAACCUUAUAGAAAGGACUUUUUCUGCUAGGAUUGAAUUGAGUUGAAAUAACAAGUAAUUUUAAAAGGAAAUUAGUAGUCAUUUGCUAAGUGUGUGGCUAAUCAUUGAUGUAAAAAGAGGAAGGGUGUUUUUUUUUAAAAAAAAUCCUUAUCUUGAGGGUAUGUGUUUAUAUGAAUUAAAAUGAUGAGAAUGCAUUGAGGAAUAACAAUGAAGGUGUUAGAAAGGAUUGAGAAGAGUGUUGAUUGAAAGUUAAUGAAAUUGGAGAAUUAACUAUGUUGUAACCCAUUUUUAGGUCCCCACACAAAAAAGUAGAAAAUACAAAAAAAAUAAAAAAAUUAUAUAUAUUUGGAAGAAAUCAAAAAAUGCUAGUAGUGAGAAGAGGAUGCCAGAGCGCCGAAAAAAUAGUCAGAAAUUGGUUAAGGAGGUUUAAAAAUACAAAGUUUGAAAUUCAAUGGUAUACUUUUGAUUGAUAAGAGUCCUGUUAACAAAGAAAAUUCAAUUUGAGGAAGAAAAUUCCAAAAUCAGAUGUUUAUGGACUCAAUUAAAUUUUAUUAAAGGUUUAAUUGAAUUUAUAGAGGGCUUGAUUACAAGAAACAUUGAUUUUUAAGUCUAUUUAGGCUUUAAUUGGAAGAAAUUAAAGUUCUGGGUCAAGUUAUAAUUUUUGAGAGUUGAUUUGGUCAAAACAGGAGCUUAAUUGAAUAAAUAUUGAAGUUUGAUGGCCAAUUACGGACUUGAUUGAAGAAAUCUAAAACCAAGGACCAAUCUGGAAAAGACGAGUAAAUAGAGGGUCUGAAAUUGAUUGAAUCAGGGACCAAAUUGAAUAAAUAACAAAUUAAGGACUGAUUCAGAAAUUGACACAUUUUGGCGCCAUUUACUUUUAAAUGAAACGACGUGUUUUGGGCAAAACGGUGCCGUUUCAUCUACUGUUAAAAAAGAAAAAGAGAAGAAGCUCAAAACGAUGCCGUUUGGAAUGUCACUGUGGGUUCUUCUUAUUCCCCUAGACGCACAGAGAUAGGGGAAGAAGAAUUGUGUUCCCCUGCAUCUGCUCCUCUCCCUCUCCCUUUCCUAAAACCUAAAAAACCAACAAAGACCCCCACUUGCCUAAACUCUAACCUGUGGCCUACUAGACUAAAAAACAGAGGGGACGAGCCCCUCAAACGGCCAUGAGGCGGCCGCCCAACCACCCUACUCCUGUGCCAUGACUAGACAGGGGAAGUAGCGCUCUCUCCCCUAUUUUCCACUUAUAAAUACCAGGGGAGAGAGGGUUAAAGAGGGGAAAAAAAGAAAAAAACGGGUAGGAAAUAGAGAGAAAGAAUAGGGGGAAAAGGGUCGAACAGAGGGAGAAAAAGGAGAAUAAAAAUGAGGGGGGGAAGGAGAGAUUGAAGGAAGAAUUGAUUGAGAUACAGAGGACAGAAAGAGAAGAAAAAUAAAGAGCAAAAACAGAGAAAAGAAGAGAGAGAACGAAGGAGAUUGAACGAAAAAAAAGGAACAACCAGAACAAAGAAACAUAAAAGAAAAGAAAAAAGAAGAAAAUGAAGGAGAACAUAAAGGAUAGAAGAGAGAAACCGAAGAAAAAAAGAAAGAGAGAGAGGUAAAGGAAAACAUGGGAGAACAGAUGAGAGAGAGAGAGAAGAGAAACAAAAGCAAAACAAACUAGAAAGAGAGAAGACACAGGGACAAGGGGAACGAAACAAAGAUAGUGAUAGGGGUAAGUGCAAUCAAAAUAGAAGGAGAUAAGGAAAAACAUAGGCUUGAGCCUUUGCACAAGGAAGAAGAAGAACAGUCACCGCCGCAAUAGCCACCAUCAUUUUUUUUGCCAUCUCAAAGCACCGCCAACGACAGCAACCACGCUCCGUCACAUUAGGUAAUCUUCUCUCCUUCUCUGAUCUGUUUUGCUGGUUUGUUUUAUUUGCAUGCAGAACGUGAACAAUUCACGUUUUGCAGCAAAUGAAAUAUAAUUAGUUGGUUACUGUGCGUAGCACAACAACUGUAACCAGCUAUCUUCUCGGGCUGGACUUUAAUAUUCCAGUCUAUAUGGUUGGGCUGAGUCCAGCCUUGUAGAAAGAAGGUUUUCUUUUUGGGCAGGUUCUGGCUUGGUUUUAUUUUGGGCCAAUCUCGACCUAAUUUCUUUUUGGAUCGGGUUCAGCCCAUUACAAAAAAAUUCAAAAAAAUAUUGUCAAAAAAAUUUAGGAUUUUCUCACAUAUUUUUCUAUUCAUUUUGAUUAAUAUCGGUUUGUAUUUUUAUACCGUAAAGAUACGAAUCUGGUUUUCGUCAAAACGUUGCAAAAAUUAUAAAACAAAAAAAAGUUUUGUUUUCAUGCAUAUGACCAAGUCUCUUAAAAAAAAUCAUAUCGUAUUGUCAUACAAAGAAAAUUGAAAAAAAUAUGUUUUAGCAUGCAUUUUGGUUAUAAUAACCAGUUUAUUAAAGUCAUGAGAACUAGGCAAAUAUUUCAAAAAUUCCAAAAAAAUCAUUUUGUUUUCUUUUAAUAUUAAGGAUUAUAAGCUUAUACGUAAGACGUAUUCUUGAUAUAAAAAAUAUAGUUUUUUAUUGACGUUAAAAUGGUUAGACUUUACCCGAUAAGAUAAGGACCUCCUUAUCGAGGAGGACUUUUCUUAAACCAUAGAUGGAUCAACAAUUAGAAAACAUGACAAGACCUUAGUUUUUUUUAUCAUCUAAUUAAAUAAAGUAGCUUAUCUUAGGUAGGACGUAUUUGGGGUGCUAAUACCUUCCCUUUACGCAACCAGUCCUCGUACCCGAUCUCUGAGACCAGUUAGGGUUCCUAGUGACCAAGAUACUAGGUGACGACUCUCAUUCCCUCUUUUCCACUUAUAAAAUACAAGAAUCCCUUGUCUCCCCCUAUAUUUGCCAAGCAGAUAAAAAAACCUAUGAGAGUGGACGAUUGUUGCGACGUCGUACACGUACGACAAUCUACAAUUAUGAUAAGUUGCAAAAUGAUGAUAAAUUAGGUAAACUAGUUCUUAGAAGGUGUAUUUGAAAACAUUAUAGUGUAUAUUACACGACAAGGAAUUGAUUUUGAAUGAGGAUAAAUUAAAUUUGUAAUGUGUGAAUGUUACAGAAUUGUCGAUGAAAUUGGACAGUUUCAUCUCUUGGUCUUUCAAAGGGAAUAUGAGCAUGAAAAUAGGGGAAUUUAAACUAGGCCUCUUCAUAAAACUUGUAGCCUUGAAUGAUAUCCAUCCAAGAAAGUUGACCUUACUUAAUUUGGAGUUUUAUAACUCCAACUAUGGGCUAAUAAUUAAGAGCGGGUUGGGAUAGACCUUACUGGGCAGUUGGUCAUCUUCUCAAUAACAUAUAGUUUUAAGGGCUUUAUGAGCAAAACUAAGUUCUUCUCUCUCAGUGAACUUAUAACCAUGUAUCUUAGCUUUUCAAGGGAUUAAGCCACCCUUAAACUGAACUAUAUAAUGUUAGUUAUGGAUGAAAUACAAAAUAGUGUUCUAAUGAGGAAUUACGCUGAUUGUGAUGUUGAUUUGCAUUCUUAUUUAAGAAACUAGGGAAAAGGAUUUAAUAGAAAUAUGAGAUAUAAAUUUAAGAAAAAGGGGUAAUAAUGAAUGAGAUAAUUAAAUAGAAAUUUGUAUGGAUUUUGGAUUUAGAAGAAAUAAAUGCUCUCGAGUAAUGACAUGGUAUACUUGUUGAUGCAGGGGGAGCUACAGGAUUCAUACAACAACCUAUGCUAUCAAACUUUUAUAAUAGGUAAGUGCCUAACACCUAUGCUUUCUAUUUUCUGCUAUUUUAAAUUGUUUGGCAUGUUAAUGCUUGAACCCAAUAGUCUAUGUAUAUGAUGUUAAUAAGAAAAAUAAAAGAGGAUUAGUACGAAUGGUAGGUUGAGAUGUCAUUGAUUAGCUAUCUAGGUUAGGAUAGCUAAUGGUAUCAAUGGGAUUCCAUUGAUACCAACAUUUCAGAUGACAUUGAUUAACUAUCCUGGUUUGGAUAGCUAAUGGUAUCAAUAGGGUUUCAUUGGUACUGACAUUCCUUAAAUUGAUUAGUCUAACCCGGUAUUGGAAGACUAAUGAUAUUAAUGAGAUUCAUUAGUAUUAGUAAUUACCUUACUGAGAAUGGAAAAGAAAGUAUUGAUUUGUUAUUUUAAAAGAAUAAGAUAAGCUAAUGAUACCACAAGAGGAAUAUUUUGGUAUCAAGUGAGAAUUGAUUCAUAAGGAGAUGAUGUUUGAAACCAUUGAGUUUAGUUGAGAUUUCCAAGAUGAAAUUAUUCUCGAUAAACAGGUUAGGAUAUUAGAUGGAUAUUGGUAAUAAUGAAAAAUGUAUGUUGUAAAAGAGUUCUAUGCCUAAUUUUAUAUAUAUAUAAAAAAUACCAUGGAAAUUAUAACAUGUCAUUGUUAUUAUUUGUCACUACUUUUUUAUUUACAUAUACAUGUUAAUUUCUAUUUUCAAGUCCAUCAGGGUCACGUCAGGAGUGAUAUUAGUUUAGUCACCUUUUGCUUUUGAACAUGUAAUUAUUUUGUAAAUUAGAAGACUUAUCUCCCAAAACUUGAAAUGUACUAUUAACCCGUAAAUUUGGAUGUAUGACUUUAAUCUAAUGUAUGUAAUUCUAAAUACCUGUUUAACCAUGCAUGUUUAUAGUUGAAAUCAAAUCCUUCACUUGAAUUACAUUAUAUGAUGUUGUUAUGCAAGAUGUAGUUUAUGUGAUGAUAUUUUGUAACAAUUGAAUUAUGCAUUGUUAUUUUGUGAACUUGAAUUGUAUGAUGUUAUUGAAUAAGAUGUGUUCUAUUGAUGAAGAUGAGUUGGGUUGAGAUCUAAGAUGAUUGGAUUGGGUUGUGAAAUGAAAUUUAAAGCGUAAUAUAAUUUUAUCGAUAACUCGAGAUCUUCUAGUAUAGGGGAGACUCUGUCGAAAUUUCAGUCGAACUUGUAUAUAAUUUUUUUUUAAAAAUUUCCAUAUACCUGUUGUGUGUUUUCCUGGAAAUUGGGAUUGUUACAUUUUCAUUAUCUUUUUUUUUUGUUAAAUGCUACGUUUGGUAUAAGAAAACAAAAAAAAAUAUUUUGCUAUUUUAGCAUUAUAAAUUUUUUUUUUUUUUACAUUUGUUUGUUUUUUAAAAUGUAUUUUUAUUGCAUGUAUUUUAAGGCUUGAUAACAACUUUAUCAAGUUCAUUAAAAGACAUACUAAAACAAAAAAAAAAACCAUUUCUUUUAACUAAAUAAUUGUGAAAAUUCAUUAAAUGACUAGUUUUGAAUAAAACGAUAUAAAGCCUAUUUUUGCUAUUCUCAUGAGUCCAAUCAUCAUUGUAGAACUCAAUCUAGGAUUGUUCGGUUCAAAGUAAGUGGAUUUACGAAGAAUAUCAACCCCAAUAUUUAUUGAUAUCAAAAUCAGAAAUAUCAAUCCCAGUAGUUACUGAUACCACAAUCAGAAAUAUGAAUCCCAGUAAUUACUAACACUAGAGUCAGAAAUAUCAGCCCUAGUAGUUACUGAUGCUAGAGUUAAAAAUAUUAUAAACAAAUAAUUGAUAACAUAACACAACUCAUAGUAAUUUAAGACAAAACUAGCAAUGAAAUUAAGGUUUUUAGUGACCAUAAUACUAGGUGACGAUUUCAUAAACAAGACAUUUCCCUUAUAAGAACAAAAUGCCAUAUAUAUGUUGUUUUUUCUUUUUUUUAAAGGUCAUUGUAAUGUUAGGUGCGACAGAAUAAUGACUUUACUGGAGAAUUGAAGGUUUGAGGACCAAUAUGAAUAAGAUUGUAAAGUUUAGAAGUUAAUUUGACAAAUAUCAGAAGAAUUAAUAAGUCUUUAGAUGUGAUUGAACUUUUGUAUUACUUUAAUUAAUGCUAUUAAUGGUGAAAUUGAAGGAAUUAGAAGUUUGAAAAGUUAUUUGAGGACUAAAUUAAAAAAAUUCAAAACUAAGGAUCAUUGUAAGGCGCGUGGAAAUCCAAGAGUUUAAUUGCAAGAUUUUGGGGGUGACAUUAAAAAUAUUAUCAAAGAUAAGGACACUUUUAAGCUUAAUUGUAAGGUUUUGAGAGUUUAGGGGGUAAAUUAAAAACUAACAUUAACUUAACCUAAUUCCCUUUUAGUAGACGACUUAUCGUUGUUUUUAAACCAAAGCUCAGAACAAGUCAUUCAUGUACUGUUCAUUUUCUUUUUCAUUUUAAACCAUAAAAGCUAUUUAAGAAGCCACCUAUGCAACCUUGGUUCAGCCCAGUUUUUCUAUCAAAACACAUCAAAUCUUUCCAAAAUCAGAGACCAUAAUACCUCUUCUACAUCUCACUGUUUGGAUCAGGAAAAUCUAUGAUGCUCUAAAAAAAACUCCACAAGUCAAAAGAAAGAACCGUCACGGCCCGUAAUUUUAAACAUAUUAAAUAGAUUUAAAAGAUUUGCAAUUAUGAAGAAAAUACACGUCAAAAGAGAGAUCGGUAAAAGACCCGCUUAGUUAACGCGGAGGAAAAGUAAAGUCUAUAUAUAAAUUGAAUGCUAAGAUAAAAAUAAUAAAAAAACUGAAGUGGAGGCUUUCACGCUACCGAGGAAUGGGGGUAAUUUAAAUUAUAUGGGACCCAUCCUUCUCUUAGAGAGCUGCAUUCCAGCAACCCCUUGUAAGAACCUCUGAUUUUUUUCAUUUAUCCGAAACAAAUUUGAAAAUUGUGAGUACUACGCAGAUUCUAAGCCAACUAAACAGUUGAAAAAAGAAGAAAGAAAGAAAAGUAAUGAAUAAAUUGCCCAUUCUACCCUUUGGAAUAUUUGCUGGGCAAUUUUUUCAACUGUUUAGGUGGCUAAAAAGGUCUCAGGUUUAUCCGAAGAAGACCCGAACCUCUUUUAACCCACUUUGCCAUAACUAUAUAUAUAUAUACACCCCUCCUCUUGGUGCUCUUCAAACGCAAAAGCAACAUCUGCAUCUGCUCUUUCUUCUACUAAACGGUGCCGCUCUCGAGCCAUAUUAUCUGAGUAAGUCUAUAGUAUUAUGAAUCCUGUGGAAUUCCGUACUCGCUUCGAGUGCUACUAAUUGUCUCUUAAUCAUUCCUUUUUUAAUUAGCUGAGGAAUGGACGAAUACAGCCACGUAUUCGCACCUGCGCCGGACUCCGCCGCUGGAUUCCACUCCGCCGCUGUUAAAGGAGUUGCUGGCGGCGUCUCCCUUCUGCUUCUUGUUGUCAUAAUUUAUGUGGUCCUGAGGAGUGGCGGAUUCUCUAUGAAUUGCAAGGUGAGAAUCGGCGAUGCUAUCCGCGGAGCUGAGGAAGAAGCCUGAAAGACUCAUACACACGGCAGCGGCCAUGUAAGUAGGGAGGGUGACCCUAUAUAUAUAUAUAAUCCAUUCAUUUCAUGCAAAUGAAAUCUAUAUCUAUCUAUCUAUAUCUACACACACACAUAUAUGUGUGUGUAUGUACAUAUAUAUAUAUAUAUAUAUAUAUAUAUAUAUAUAUAUAUAUAUAUGAAUCAUACACACACACACAUGCAUGCAUAUAUGUGUGUGUGAGGAGAGAGAGAGAUCUACACACACAUAUAUAUGUAUAUAUGUGUGUGUGUCUAUAUAACACACACAGACAGAUACACACACACACACACAUAGAUUUCAUGCAAAUGAUAGAAAUGGAGCUCCAAAACUUCUGUUUAUUUUGAUGUGUAUAUAUAUUAUAUUGCAGGAGGCGUGGUCUUCUUUAAAGGAUGCAACUUAUGAAGUGAUGUUUAUGUAUCUUUAUUUCCGGUUUUGAUCAAUAACCAGCGUCAUAUAUAUAUGGCAGCUUAAGAGAUCGUUUGUGACUUGCCAGUUUGCUGUUGUAACUUGGAACUUUGUUUUUUUCAUAGGGUUUGUACUGUAACGAUAAUGAGUUCUAUAUAUGCAUAUCUUGUUUGCUGUUGCAUCCAUUUAAUUUUUUUGGGUACAAGAACUUUGCUGCAAAUCUUACAUGGGAGUUGUGGUGGUCCAUCAUUCAGGAAACUCAGUUGAAGCUUGUCACUUGUCCAACACUGAUUCAGUGGAUAAGGUCCAAUUGCAGAAUUAAAUAAAACACAAAAUAUAAUUGGAGAAUUUGGGUUACUAGUCAAACAAAAGUAGGGACUACCAAACCAAGAAAAUAGGGCUAUCUUAUUCCUUUUUCUCUAGCAUGUUUCUUCCUUCUUUGUAUGGCUGAAUAUCAAUUUUGACUUGGUUUGGCAUGGACGCGUAUUUGUUUAUCAAGUUAGCAUGUUAAUUAUGAGCUCAUAAUUUAUUUAUAUAGUGGUUAGCAAGUCAAGAUAAUAAUUGAUAUGGUAGAAAACAUAGUUAUUAGUAAAAAUUAAUACAUUAAUUUAUUAAAUGUAAUAAUGAUAUCAAUUGAUUGUACAAUCAACAUAUCAAACUAUUGAUGCAUUGUGAUAUAUAAAAAAUGUUAGUUUAUAUAAUUUUGAGAAAUUUUAGAAGUUAACCAAGUUUUAGGAAUUAACCAAACUAAAAUAUCCUGCUAGCACUCUGUAAGUUCAUUAUAUUUCCAAUUAAAUUACUACUUCAACAAUAUUAGCACAUCACUAAUUUAAUUACUAUAUCAACAACAUUAACCCAUUACUAAUUUAAUUAUUUUAUCAACAAUAUUAUCACAUGACCAAUUUAAUUAUUAAAUCAAUAAUACCAACUCAUCACUAAUUUAAUUACUUCAUCAACAACAUUAUCGCAUGACCAAUUUAAUUAUCAAAUCAACAAUAUCAACUCAUCACCAAUUUAAUUAGUUCAUCAAUAAUAUUAAUCAUUUCACACACAAUAUUAUGGAUUUCUAAAUCACAAUUCAAAAAUCAAAUAAACAUAUUUUUAUUAUAUAUAAAUUUUAUACCCUGUUGUAAUUUAUUUUUGAAUCCCCGUAAAAAAUAAUAAUAAUAAAAAAUAAAUAAAAAAUUAAAUCAUAAACUCAUGAUCCAUGGAACAUAGAUACCCGGCCAGUACUUUAAAAGUCCUCAUGAGCAAUAUCCAAUGCAAUAUUCCAUAUUUUUUAGUACCCUUGUUAAAAUAUUUUAAUUUAAUAAAAAAAUACGAGAUCAUCUCGGAUGAUUUUUUCGGAUAACUCAGUGGUUGCUGUCAUGUACUUCAUUGCCACUAGCACCAGAAACGGCAAAGAUUGACUUCCUUUAAAUUUCCCGUCGUCUCUGCUUUCAUAUUGCGUGAGAAGCACAUAAACAGUGACCACGUUGCAAAACAAAAUAAGAUAAAGGGCAAAGCAAAAAAAUAUCGGCAGACCUAAAGAAGAUCCGCAAAGAGAUCCGUGAAUCAUAAUUAACGUGGAAGAGAAAUAGAGAACAAUCAACGUAUACACGCUAAUAAAUUGCUACACAGCGGGCAAAAACCAAAGUGUACAAAGGAAUCUAAUAUUAUAUAACAAAUUUGAAAAACUAUUUUCCCAUUCUUCCACAACAAAAUUAUGAGACCCACUCUUAUCUUUGAAAGCUGCAUUCCAAUUACCCCCUGGAAAAAUCUCCGAUUUUUCCAUUGAUUCGAAGUAAAAUUAUGAGCAUUGAGAAGAUUAUUAUCUUUGAAAGCCAACUAAACCAGUAAAAAGAAAAAUAAAUGAGAAGGAGUGAAAAAAGAAGAAGAUAAAUCCCAAAUAAAAAAGCAUUGGCUAAAUAAAAGCAGAACCUCUUAUCCCAUUGCAAUAACUCUCAUUUCAGUUAAUGAUUGAAACUGUGAUAAAAAUUACAUUUCAAAGUGUUUUUAACUUAAAAAUAUAUUAAAAUAACUUUUUAUUUAUUUUUUAUAUCAGUGUUAGAGAAUAAUAUAAACCAUAUCUUGGGAUAUCACCUAAAAGUCUAAGCUAUUAGGUUGAGAUGGUUCUUUGACAUGAUAUCAGAACCUUAAUGACCAAUCAAUCAGUUACGAGUUUAAAUUAAUCUCAUCAUCUCCGUUUAUUUGAUAAAAAUCAAGCACAAGAUAGUGUGAAUCUGUGUAAUUUUCAAGCCUACAGACUUUUAUUUGAGAAGGUGUGUUAGGGAAUAAUAUAAAUUAUAUUUUGGGACCUAAUUUAAGAGUUUAAGGUAUUAAGUUGAAUUGGUUUUUUUGACAAUCAACACAUAAAAACGAUAAAAAAAAUACAAAAAAUAAUUAAUUUGAUUUUUUUUCAAAAACUAAGUUUUGACCCAAAAUAAAAAAACAAACACUACCUAAAAAUCCUUCAAAUAUUUUAUUAGAAAAAAUCAGAGCAAAGAUAGAGAGACAGUCGGGCUUCACUCACAUAUUAAUAAAAAUAAAUUUACAUGAUAUUAUUUGAAUUCUAAGAAAGACGAUGGUAAAAAUAUUAUUUUCUUACAUCAUUGAAUAAAGAAAUAGUAUUGGCCUUAUUUGUUUUUGUGUUUUAAAAGUGCUUUUGAAAAAAAAAUAAAAAAGUUUUGUUUUUUUCUUUGCUUCAAAUUAAUAUUUUUUUUGUGUGUUUCUAGAUCAUUUUGAUGCUUUGAUGUCAAAAAUAAUUUUUUUUAAAAAAAAAUAUUAUUUUGAUAUAUUUUUAAGUAAAAAACACUUUAAAAAAUAACCACAAUUACACUCUCAAACAACUAGAAAAGCAAGUUCUCCUUUGUGGACAUCCAACGUGAGAGGUUUAUAAGCUAUUUUCUUAAUUUUCAUGAUAAAUCUUAUUUUUUGUUAUAUAUAUAUAUAUAUAUAUAUAUAUAUAUAUAUAUAUAUAUAUUUCAUUUUCUCUAAGCUUCUGUUUCUACUAUAUUUUGUUCUUCUAUCACCUAAAACUUGGUAGUUUAACCUGAAUCAGACUGUUCUAGAAAAACUCAAAUUAAGAUUUUUCUCUAAAAUUAUAGGAACUAAAGUCUCCAAUCAAAAGCCAAUCAAUGACGGAAGCAGACACGGCAAACCACCUCUCGUAUGCACGAGAUAAAACUAAAGGAUUGGAUUUGAUAUAUAGUCAUUUUGGUUGUGACAGAGAGAAUCUUUAUUUGCAAAAUUUCUCCAGUACUGCUGUUAUGGUUGGUCUGUCGUGGCGAGUCUCUGGCGUCUGAUCUGGACAGUAGAUGGGUUUUUGGCAGGCGUGGCUGCCAAGGGUUUUGUUAGUAAAUGUAUCUGCAAAAAUUAUCCCCCCCUCCAGCCUUUACCUUGAAUAAUUAAUAAAUUUUAACUCUAAAUUUCUGUUUAUUUUUAAUUUGGCCCCUCCAACCCCUGUAUUUUGGUGUGCCAUUUGCAUAAUUCUUCUAACUCUGACAUAUAAUGAUGGAAUAAUUAUAAUGGUAUUUACAAUAAUUGUUUUUCGACCUUUUAGAAUAUAUUAACACAAUAAAUUCGUUGCUAACCCAUCAGUAAUAAUUUAAAAAUAUAUUACCGAAACAAUCUCCAAAUUUUCCAAUCGUCCGAAACAAAAUUGCUCAAACCAGCCAGGUGGGAAAUCUAAAUGCUACAUUAGUCUUCUCGAGUUUUUCGAUGCGGCCCCACGUCUGUGUCCCACUUGAUUCGGUGUUAAGGAAUUAAACCUGCGCCUCGAGUCGGCAUCUCAUCAAAUAUUUUUCAAAUUUUAGUUAAAUAUUUCCGAUUUAAGAAAUUAUAAAAAAGAAAUUAAAACCAAUGUUAAGGUUGAAGAAUUUUCCUACGAUCAGGUGUGCGCAUUAGGGCUUUCAAGACGCAAUGCAUUUGACUGGAAUAAUAAUAAUAAUAAUAAUAAGUAUUGUUCGGAGUAUCGUUCCCUUCAUUUUCUGUUCUCCUCCCAAAUAAUGAAAAAAUAUCACAUACCUAUACAUUCCUUUCCUUCCCAAAUUUUCAAUGCCUUCCUUUUGCUUUAGAAGAUAGUACUACCUUUAGCAAAAGUUCGAAACUUUCCUUCUUCUUCUUCUUGUUUUUUUUUUUUUUGUAAAGAUACUUUUAUGCUUAUUAGAAUCUGAUGAUUAAAUCUUGGAAUUCAAUAAUUAAAAAAAAGCAUUCAUACAAUACUAAAUCAUUAUUAAUCAUAGUCUUAAAAACUCGAUUUUGAUUAAUAAAUAAAUUUACACGACAUUAUUUGAAUUCUAAGAAAUACGGUAAAAAAAUUAAUUUUGUAUAUAAUAAAAUAACAGAUAGGAAAAGCACGUUCUCCUUAGCGGACAUCCAAUUACAUGGGAGGUUUAUAAACUAUUUUCUGAAUUUUUACAAUGAAUCUUAUUUUUUUGCUUAUAUAUAUAUAUAUAUAUAUAUAUAUAUAUAUAUAUAUAUAUAUAUAUAUAAUUUUCUCUACCCUUCUGUUUCUACUAUAUUUGUUCUUCUAUCACCUAAAACUUAGCACGUAGUACUUUAACCUGAAUCAAAUUGUUCUAUAGAAACUCAAAUUAAGAUUUCUCUCUAAAAUUAUAGGAACAAAAGUCUUCAAUAAAAAAAAGCCAUUAAAGACGGAAGCAGCAUGGCGCCUCGAUCCCGUAUGCACGAUAUAAAACUAAAGGAUUGGAUUUGAUUAUCAUUUUGGUUGUGACAGAGAGGAUCUUUAUUUGCAAAACUUUAAGGUUUGGCUGUUAAUAUGUAGUGAUGGGGAUGUUGAAGAAAUUCCUCCACUGCACAUGGUUAAUGAAGUUAGAUUUCCAGGAGAGAAAAAAAAAUUAAAUUAAGAUAUCAUUUUUUUUUUGGGAAAGAUUAAUAUGUAUAAGAAAAGAAAAUAAUAUACACAAAUACGAGGGUACUAUACCCAAGAAAACAAGACAAGCAAAAUAGUCAAAAAGGAAAAAACUGGCAAAGACUUGAUGCAAACAAGAUCACGUACAGACUUGGAUGCAGACAUGAUCACGCUGCCUGGAAUAAGCGACAAUCCAUAUCCAAGCAGCAAGGGAAAUUAACAAAAAAACAACUAGCUAAUCUGGACAGUAGAUGGGUUUUGUGUGUGUGUGUGUGUGUGUCUUCGCAUUUCCUUUCGUGUAUAUGCAAUUUAAUGUAGAAAACUAGUCCUUUCGACGUUGGCAUUUAAUACUUUGAAAUGUAGGCACUAUAUUGUUUUUAUGGUUGGUCUGUCGUGGCGAGUCUCCGGCUUCUGAUCUGGACAGUAGAUGGGUUAAUUUUGGCAGGGGUGGCUGCCAAGGGUUUUAUUAGUAAAUGUACCUGCAAAAAUUAUUUCACAUCGAGAAAUAUUUAAUUAUUAGAAAUCUAUUUACACAUCGAGAAUUUCAUUGAAAUGAAAACAUAUAUCCAUCAAUCUAGUAUAAACGUGGGAAAUUUCCCUACUCUCAAGUCGGACUCGUAAAAGAGUAGUAGCUGUCUCCAGCAACAGGAACGGAUAAGAAACAAGAUGAUGUUGUCGACAUCAAAUUGGUCAUAAACUAGUUGUAAACACAGCAUCUUCCCGUCUUUAUGAAUUUUCAAGUCACUCGAAAUAAUGCCUCGCCAUGCAUGCUCCUUGGACCACAUUGGAAAACCAUGGCACAACCUUUCUUUAUCUAAGACCUCUUUAUUUAUGCUUAUCAACGAUGAGGUUGUUCAAUCGACCCCUGUAUCAGCAGCAAUGUGUAAAUAUAUAUUAUUUUUUCCCCUGUCUUUACCUUGAAUAAUUAGUAAAUUUUAACUCUAAAUUUUUGUUUAUUUCUAAUUUGGCCCCUCCAAAUCUAAUGUCUGGCUCACCCCUGUAUUUUGGUGUGGCGUGGCAUUGCUGCUGAGGGUUGUGGCUUUAUGAUGCGCACACUCGGGCUUACUAUGUACGUGGCUGGUUGUUUUUGUUUUUAUUUUUAGGUCACAUGACUUUUAUUUAUUGUUGCUACCCAAUUUUUAACCCAUGUUGUCAUAACCCAAUUCUGGGUUAUUCUCCAAAAAUUUGAACCCUCUAUCCAAUCAUGCUUCAAGUACUGGAUCGGUGAAUGCACUGGAGGUGGAAUGCUCAUAAAACCUUAAAGCACUAAUGGCAAGAGCAAGGUGUGAAGAAGGUAGUGUGCACUCUCAAUGAUAGAAGAGUACAAAAUUCUUCUAUAGAAUGGGAAGAUGGAGCCUACCCAAUUAUUUCCUUUUGUUUGAUCAUGUCUGUUUCAACCUGUUUUAGUCUUGUUAGCAAUUUAGCUCAUAAUGCCACAAGACUUUCUCUGUCAAAUGAGCAUUUCCUAUUAAUAAAAUCAUGUGUUUUCCUGUGUUCAUGAUGUACCUUCAUGCAAAUAACAUACUGAACACAUCUUUUACUCACAAAACCAUUGUAUCAAGAAUUCUUUGGUGUUUUCCCUUUUUUUUCUCUCCAAAAAAAAAAAAAAACAAGCAUGACCUCAUGUUUUCACAAGGAUUUUUGGGAAAUCAAAGUUUUAAUACAAAAUAAAAAUCAAAUUGGUGUUUGUUCUAACAAACAAGUUGUGAAAAUUCAAGUGAUAUCCUAACACCUAUAAAAAACCUGAAAAAUAACCCGAACACCAUGAGAUAACUUCAAAGCUGAGUUUUGAUUGCAUGAAUAAUGAGAAACCAUUUUGCAUAUUCGCAUGUGAGAAAGCAAAGCUUGCCGAUUCUGAAUGCAUGCAUUUGAAAUGAAGAAAGGCCAUCUUUGAUCAUCCUUUCAUAAAUUCUAAAAAAUCCCUUGUAGUCCCCAUUUGAGCUUAAUAACUUUUUCUUGAAAACAUAACUUUGGCUAGGAUCACACCCUACACUGGGAGCAAGUGCAAAAAAAAAUCCUUAAUGAUUAAAAGUGCCCAAACAACCCUGAAGGGCAUGAAAAAGUCCUUAACAUUAUAUAAAAGUACCCAAACAACACUGGGGGGCAUGAAAGAAAAUCCUUAAUGAUCAAAAAGUGCCCAAACAAAGCUGGGGGGCAUGAAAGAGUUCCAAAAAUAUUUGAGCGUGCCAUAAAAAUCACUAAUAUAAUGAUGCUCAAAACCAAAAGAAGAAAAAACCCAACAUUGGAGGGGCACCGUGGACCAUUUUGCAAAUCAAUUCCAAGGUACAUAAAUGUAUGAACAAAAAAGGAGUUUGGGAUAUAAGUACUAGUGAUCCUUAGUAUUAAAGUCCCUUAAACACCUUUUGAGCCUAAAUAUCCUUUUUCUUCAUAACCAAGAGCCAAAGCCUACGUUACGUGCUCAAUCAAGCCCUUUCUGAUUAAAGGCAGACAAUCUGGAUCGGUAGGCUUUGCUUUCCCAUGUGAAACAAGUCAUUAUUCAUGCAAGCAAAAUGAAUGCUUUGAAAACUGGUUCUUUGAAAUCCUAAAAUUGAAGCUUGAACCCUUUUGACCAAUCAAACAUCACCUCACUUCACCAAAAACAAAAUAAAUUUUUUCAACACUCAUGCAAACCUAUCCAUGAGAAUCGCUUGAAUUUUUCAGAACAAGUUUGUUUUGAACAAACAUCAAAAUGAUUUUUUGGUAUAGCUUUGAAAUUCCAAAAAUUCUUCAUGAAAACAAUUCCUUGUAAAUAACCAGAUCUUCUUUCAUAUAGCCUCAUCCCCAAGAAAAACCCAAAUUGAACACUUGGAGACAUGAUCAAACUAGGGGGCAAUCCAGCAAAACACAUAAGGCUGACUCCAUGAUUCCCCUUCUUAGAAAACAUGAGAUAUAGUGCAGAGCUGACAACCUUUCAGAUAAAGGUUUGUGGGCAAACAAGUAUGCUGAUCCCUCUUAAAGGUCAAGAUCACAAGAUAUGACUCAAGUAAGCAAGAGCGGAAGAGCCAUCAAAGCUUACUAUCAGAGACUCAAAUUUUUGAGAAAAGGAAAACUCUAUGAAGGCAAGGGGACCUAUAUUUCUCAGGUAAGUAUACAUGCGUAUUGAUCAUGAUGCAUUGCUUCAAAUCGGUGUCUCACCAUCAUCUCUUUUUAAGCGGGCUGUUGAGCCCUCAACCAUCUCAGGUAAUGCGCUUCACAGUCCUACCUCGUUGCUUUUUAAGUGCACCUUUAGGCCAUAUCAUACCUCUUUUUGAGUGCGCCUUCGAGCCCUCACCUCAUGGGUAGUGUGUUUUCUAACCCUGCCUCCUUUUGAGUGCGCCUUAGAGCCCUCGACCACAUUAGGUAGUGUGUUUUCUAACCAUACCUCCUUUUGAGUGCGCCUUUGAGCCCUCACCUCUUGGGUAGUGUGUUUUCUAACCCUACCUUUUUUUGAGUGCGCCUUCGAGCCCUCACCUCUUGGAUAGUGUGUUUUCUAACCCUGCCUCUUUUGAGUGCGUCUUCGAGCCCUCAUCCCCUAGGUAGUGUGUUUUCUAACCCUACCUCCUUUCGAGUGCACCUCAGAGCCCUCGACCACCUUAGGUAGUGUGUUUUCCAACAUUACCUCUUUUAGAGUGCACCUUAGAGCCCUCAACCACCUUAGGUAGUGUGUUUUCUAACCUUACCUCUUUUUAAGUGUGCCUUAAAGCCCCCGACCACUUUGGGUAGUGUGUUUUCUAACCCUACCUCCUUUCGAGUGCGCCUUUGAGCACUCACCUCUUAGGUAGUGCGUUUUCUAACCCUACCUUCUUUUGAGUGAGCCUUCGAGCCCUCACCUCAUGGACAGUGUGUUUUCUAACCAUGUCUCUUUUUUAGUGUGCCUUUAAGCCCUCACCUCUUAGGUAGUGCGUUUUCUAACCCUAUCUCUUAUCAAGUGCGCUAUUCAUCCCUCGUUCCCCUUCGAGUCCUAUCUCUUUUCAAACGCUCCUUGGAGCUUCCAUCUCUUGAAUAGUGCGCCUUCGAGCCCUAUCAUGUCGUCUCUUCAAGACAUUUUUUUUACCUGGGUAGGUCACCCAUCAUAAUCAGACCUCUUUGAAAACUCUUUUCAUCUUCCAUUUGGGCUAGUUGCCUAUUACAAUGAAACUAUCUUGAGAAAUCUUCGUAUUUCUCACCAUUUUGAAAAAUCCCCGCAUUUUUCACCACUUUGAAAACUCUUUUCACUUUUCACCUGGGCAGGUCGCCCAAUACAACAAGACCACUUUGAAAAAUCUUUGUAUUUUUCACCACUUUAAAAAAUCUUUGUAUUUUUCACUCUUCACGUGAGCAGGCCACCCAUUACAACAAGACUACUAUGAAAAAUCUUCGUAUUUUUCACCACUUUGAAAAAUCUCUGUAUUUUUCACCAUUUUGAAAAAAAAUCUUUGAAAAAUCUUUGCAUUUUUCACCUGGGUAGGUCACCCAUUACAAUAAGACCACCUCAAAAAAAACCUUUUUUCAACUUUCUCUGGGUAGGUCACCCUUGACAAUUCGACCACUUCAAAAUCUCUGAAUUUUCAAAAGAAAAAUCUUUCAGUUUUUACUCUGAGUGCGCUUUCUAGCACUCAAAAGGAUUUAUCAUUUCUUAAUAUGAUGAGUCAAUUAUCUCUCAUCCUUAUUUUUCUUUACAACGCUUACUAUCUAAAGUCUCUUACGAGACUUUUUAUCGCAAGCAUUGUAAAGAGAGGGGCAACUAUCAUAACCAAUUCUGGGUUAUUCCCCAAAAAUUCAUUUUUUUUCAAAAUAAAAAUCAAAAAAAUAAAAUAAAGGCUGGCAACGUGGAGAAAGCAGGCCGGGAAAUCAAGUUGUAAUUUUUGGAGGAAAUUCAAGGCCUAAUUGUACCCCAUUAUGCCAAAAAAUAGAGAAAAAAGUGCAAAUUCAAGGUCAAAUUAAAUGAUUAUUGGACAAAUUUGCAUAAAAAUUAAGUCCAAUGACAUAAUUAAAUUUUUAAUAGGCCAAUUUGAUUUAAUCAUGGGCCAAAUUAAAUUUUAAUUAUGUUUAAGAAUUAAUUUGGGUCCAAUUGAAGGAUUUAAUUAAGUGCAAGGAUUUAAUUAUACUUUAAAUGGGUCAAAUUAAUUUUAUUUGGGGCUUAAUUGGUGAAAAAUUAAGUUUGGGAGCCUAAUUUGGCCUUAAUUGAGGACAUUGGAAUUUUAAGAGACCAAAUUUAAUUUUUACCAUGUUAAUAUAUUGAAAUCAGGGGCAAAAUUACAAGAAAAUUGAAGUUUUGGGGUCAAUUAGGGGCUAAAUUGAAGAAAUCUGAGACCAAGGACCAUAUCGCAAUAGGCGCGUAACUUUGGGGCUCCAAUUGAAGUUCAUCAGGGGCUUAAUUGUAAAAUUUUAGGGUCAAUUAGAGAUUCAAUUGAAAUCAAAUUUAAAGAGGGAGGACUAAAAUGAACUUUGGCCAAAAUCAGAACUUUGGUACUGUUCAUCUUGUUCUUUAAUUCUCUGAAACAGCUGGUCGGUUACCAACUUUGCAGCUGCAUUUAAUGUACCUAACAUCCAUCAAAUUUGACAAAACUUGCACGAAACUGAUCACCAGACAUCCCUCUAUAUUGGGGUAUGGUCUUCACCAGCUCACUGGCAAAUAAACGGAUGUGGCACCACCCCAAAGAGGCCAACUCAGGCAGCCUGCAGCUGCAGAUUUGACAAUUUGACAGUGUACCAUGUCUAUUUUGAGCCAACGGUUGGGAUCCUUCCCAUCUAAAUCAAUGGCUGAAAUGUUUCUUUAUUGUAGACAAGAUUGCCCUCUUCCACCGCCUAUAAAUAAAGGUGGAUUUAAUGGCCUGAGGGAGGAGAAAAUCGGGUCCAAAGUCAGCCAAAAAACCAGUUUUUCUUCCAGUUUCUGCACAUUUCUUCUUUUUUUUUCUCUCUCCACCGUGGUCUUCAGCCACCACCACCCUCAUCACCGGUCUUCCCACCAUUACCUUCAUCAUAGGAAGCCAACACAACCACCAGCCGACCACCAAGAGCCACCGUCGGUCUCUCUCUCCUCUUUGAAGCCCCUCCCGCGCGUUUUUCUUCUUUAAUUUGCUUCCUCUGCCGCCGGCCACCAUCUCUGUCACAGCCUCAGCCACCGUCCUCACGUCAGCCCCUCACCGUUUCUACCACCAACCGGCCACCAAGCAGCCACCGCGACUCUCUCCCUCUUCUCCUUCGAGCUUUUCUCUCUCCUCUGCAACUUUUUCUUCUUCCUCCCGUAGCCGACGCCGGCCUCCACCGCUGCAACCACUGGCAGCACACCGUCAUCCUCGGCCAGACCACCACCACGCCAGGUUGUCCGCCCUCUCUCCCCUUCCCCUUCUUCUUCUUCUUCUUCUUCGCUGUCCCUGUUGCAUGAACAGAGGACGUGAAUUAUAAUUCACGUCCACUGUUCAUGCAGUGGACUUUACCUAUUUUUUUAAAAAAAAAACAAAUCCAAAAACUUUCAAAAAAAUUGUGAUUUUUUCAAAUAUUGUUCUACUAAUUUUUCAUAAUAUCAGAUUGUAUAUUUACACUGUAAAAUAUAAAUUUGAUAUUAAAAUAUCCGAUUUUCUUCAAAAUAUUUCAAAAAAAAAAUUCAAAACAUUUUUUUUUUAAAAAAAUAUUUUAUUGCAUACAGACAAAUUCUAAAAUUUUUCCAAGCAUAUUUUUUAUAAAAAAAAAAACAAAAAUUGCAUCUUUUUCAUGUUUAAAAAAAAUCAAAAAAUGGAUAUCAUAACCAGUUUAUGAUUAUCUAUUAGGAUUUGGCCAACAUGUCAAAAAUAUUUUCCAUUUUUUUUUAGGAUCCAGAUGUAGACUUUAAUAUUUGUGAGAUGUAAAAUUAGACGAUAAAGUACACCCUCAGGUAUUAAAGAUACAAAGUGUAGAAAUACGAUGCUAAAAUUUAGACUUUAGAACGGUUAGGAUUUAACCCAAUAAGGUAGAGACUCUCUCAGGAAGAGAGAUCUGCCUUGAGUCUAAGAAAAGACCAACGAAUAGAAACCCGACUUAGAAAAAAACAAUCAAACAACAAUGCAGCUUACCUUAGGUAGGGUGCACUAGGGGUUAUGUGUCUUCCCCUUGCACAACCAGUCCCUUACCCAGACUCUCGUAGACCAUAGGUUCCUAGUGACCAUAAUACGAGGUGGCGAGUCCUAAAAAUUAAUCAUAAUUUUAUGAUUAAAUCCAAAAACCUUUUCCAACACAACACCUCUCAUCAGGAGCCACGACAGAGAGCCUCCGCCGUCCACAAACGACAUCGCACCCCCCGCGACACAAGUUUCGGUAAUUUUUCAUAAAAUACCAAAAAUAGAAAAAAAAAUUGAAAAUCUAAAAAAUACAUCUUUUAAUAUAUUUGCAUCGUUUUUAGCAUUUUUAACGUCGUCUAAAAAGAAUUUAAAUUUUCAAAGGUCUUUCAAACGCGUUCAACUUUUCACGCGUUAUUUUAAAAUUAUUGAUUUUCCUCAUUGAGUCGACAUUGAUAUUGCUCAUUUUCAAAAAAUACAAAAAAAUUAAGAAAAAUCAAAUUUACAAAAAGCAAGAAGUUGAUGGACCAAAUUUGAAAACCUAACAAUAUUUUUGCCGAUAAAUACUAGCCCCUUCAACACACUAAAAAAAAAAAAAAGGCCAAUUUUGAACCAUUAGAUAACAAAAACACAAAAAAAAACCUAACUCUAAACCAUCACUUUCAAAACCAGCAACCGCCCCCUCCCGCUGGCCAUUUUUUUUCCCUUCACAGCCGCCUCUAACCCUCCUCCAUAGCCGCUACCCAAAGCAACCUCUUCACCGACUAUCCCCUACAGACCCUCACCAGAACCAGCCCCCCACACUGCCUCCUCUCCUUUUCUCUCCACAGAUCCUCCCUCUCAGCAGCUCCCUCUGCCCUCCGCGGCCUUCAUUCCAUCCGGCUCCUCCCCACUUGGCGAAACAAAAUAGCUGCAGCAACCCCGGCUUGGAAUUUUUUGGCCUCCACACCGUAGCCCCAUCUCCUUCCUCCUCUCGAGAAACAAACAAACCAAACAGCCGCCCCCCUGGUUUUGAUUUUCUUCUCCAGCCGCCCCCCUGGUUUUGAUUUUCUUCUCCAGCCGACCAACCGGCAGCCAUCACAGGCCGCUACCACCGACAAGGGUGAAGACCAUCCAGCAGCACGCCCACCGAGCCAUCAGCACCGUCCACACCGUCAGACAGCAGCGCCGCCACAGAUCCACCGUCGCCCUCUGCACCCUGCAGUGUCGCCCGAUCUGCCACCAGAAACAGAGAAGAAGAUGGCGAAGCCCCAAGAACAGACCUGAGAAAGAAGAAAGUGAAGCAGAUAAGGAUGGAAAGCAGAGGAAAACAGAUCUAAAAAAUUAACUAAAACAGACUGCCUGUGCGUUUUCUUUUGGUUGCAGGUGACGGUGAUCUUCAUCGCCGGCGAGGAAGGAAGAAGGAUGAAGCCGCUCCAGAUCCCCCUGCUGCCUGGAGUUUAUUGCAGCGGCAAAUAUUUGUUUAGUUUGAAUUUUUAUUUGUAUGUUGGAAAUGUGGAUGUAACAAAGAAAAGAAAAGAAAAAAUAUAGUGGAAGAGUUUGUGUGUGUUUGUAUUUAUUUUAUUGGUGUUUUAUUUUAUUUUAUUAUGUAUGAUAAAAUUGUAAAGAUUAAAGUAGAAUUUAAUAUUUUGAUUUCGUCUAGAAUUAUUAAUUUAUAUGAAAGUUAUAUUUUUAAUAUUCGAUUAAAAUUAAAACUUUUUUAACACGUUAAAAUUAUAAAGCAGUUUGAAUAUCUGACAAGAUCAAUAUAUUCAGUUUCUUACUGGUCUUUAAUAAAUUACUCGGUGGCAGAUUCCAACAAACCGAUUCAAGCAAACGCAUAAC